CCGACCCUACUUCGGAGAAGCUUCUCCAACGCAAACCCCUUCCAGGCGUCCCAUUCGGUAAACCUUUUUGUUUGCUUAUUUAUUUAUUUUUAUUUUUAUUGACUUAUUUUUUUUUUAAUUUAAGGGUUCACGAUUUCAAUCAUGGAAAGGGGACAAAAAUAAAAAGGAAAUAAUUCUAGACAUACAUAAAUCGACACGGCCAGUGAAGUACAUACACUCUAUCCCAAAGGCUACAAUGCAAAUCUCGCCACUUGGAUUUGCAAACAGGGUUCCUGUCUUAAGCGAUGUGUCCUCCAAAGUCCUAACAGUCUUGGGCUAUUUUUUGACUGGGACUCCAGGUAUAGAAACACGAUGACACUACAGUACUUGCCAUGAUCUCUUAUGUGUGCACUUAUUUUUUAAAUCACUAUUAUUAUUAUUAUUAUUAUUAUUAUUAUUGUUUUAUUUAUUUUCUGGCCAAAAACACCUUCCAAUUUCUCUGAAAUGUAUAUGUUAGAUACCCAUCCCUUAAUGUUUUAGAUCUUUUCUCAGCAAGUCCCUCUUAAAGGUACAAGUACUCUUUAAAGACCUGACAUUUAACAUAUCUACUUUACCUUUUCAUUGACAGCCCCGGAGUGAGUCCCCCCCAGAGGACAAGGAACAGGGGAGGUUCUGAAAUGGGAGAAGGUGGGGAAAAAAACCCCAGGCUUCCAGCCUGACAUUGCUCCAUCUGUAAUGCACACUUGUCAUUUCAAGGAGGAUAAAAAAGCAAUGUCAAUAUAUACAUAUCCAACUCUUCCCUUGUUCUGGAAGCACCAUCUUACAACUGAGAAAAAGGGCCACCCGUUGUUGAAUCUAAGACCCUUCUACUGAAUGGAAGGAAGAAUCCUGAGAUAAUCCCUAAAAGCAGAAAAGUGGCUCACUGGUCAGCUGAGCGGUGGUCAUGAGGGUCUGUGGGUUUCUGAUGACAUCUGUGCCAUUAAGGUAGUUAAGAUUUUUACUCAGAUCUUGAAUGGACCACAUAUAAUUUAAACCCAGGAUUUGGAAGCAUUUGUGUUUCUCCCUCGCUCCAGAGGUAGCCAGCUUCAAAUAUGGGGAACACUUAUUAAUACUUCAGUUGAGCUCUGCAUACAACUUCUUCUGGAUAUAGAUGUCUUUUUUUUUUUUUUUUUUUUUACCAUUGUCUGAACAACAAUUAGAAUGGCAUUCGUCCAGGGAAUAAAACUGUUCCUCUCCUUACCCUUUCCACAUAAACUUGUCCCCAGUAUGCUCCUAGUCUCUGAUGUCCAGAAGUAGAAAUGUCCACUGCGAGCUGUUGUCCAAACUAUGAUGACCAUGUUCACGAUCAGCACAAAACACACACUUGGUGCCAAGAAAGGUAGUGACUCUAGAUGAAACAAAUAUCAUAGUCCAAGAUUCUGGAUGGAGAAAAGAGUAAGCCAGAAAUUGAUAUUCAUCAUCACAGUUAAUUACUAAAUUUGUAAAAUGUCUAUUUUCUGUGAACUUCAUCUGUUUCAAAGACUGUGUUUAUGUUUGUACCCGCAGCAUAAGGCAUGAUUCGUAGGAAUUAAAAAAUACACGUGGGGUGAAUUAAAGUUACAAGAACAUAGAAGUGGUGGGUAGCCUUUUUUAUCUGUUACGGGUCACUGAAUCAGAGGAAAAUAAUUAUUUGUAAAUAAGUAUAUAAAUGUUAUGUAAAUUCUACACGGAGAUAAGCAAAUAACAAUGUUUUAAGAGAUAUUUUGAGAAAUUCCAAAAGAAAAUCCACUGCUUUAUAUUAAAUAUAAAAAAUAUAUGUAACUAUUGGAUUCAAUUUAUUUUAAACUGUUCUUCAGUAUCUUAUUGUGAGCUAGGAAAAUAAAAGGAAAUGGAAAGGAUGAAAAGGGAAAAGGGAGAUGAAAGAUCCAACAACAAGAGAGGAAGCCAAUGAGGUGGGAAGGGGUGUCAUGGUAAGAAGCAGGGAGGGAACAGAGAGGGAAAUGGCUCAGAAUCCCUUCGUUUCUGGGCACAGCAUCAACAAUCCUCAGAAAACCCAUUCUCACAUCUCUGCUUAAAAUCCGGAGUUUAUGGGAGUUUGCUUAGACCGUGGGUUGCUUGUGUCAUCAAUGAUAAAACUGCAUCAAACAAGAGAGUGAAAACAGACCAAUCGUCCUCACCUCACCAUCAAGGUACUCCCUUUUCUCAUGUUUUCAUAAAAGGUCACUGAGCCAUAACUCUUAUGUGGUGAAAAAAAACUCUAGUCCAAAUUGGUUUUUAACUUGUGAAUGCACAUUGGCAAGUCAAACACCACCACCCCUUUUCCAGAAUUUCUGCUCAUAAUUUGCAACCAAUAAUUGUGUGUGUGUGUGUGUGUGUGUGUGUGUGUGAGAGAGAGAGAGAGACAGAGACAGAGACAGAGAGAGAGAGAACCUGUGUAUAUGCAUACACAUUAUCAACAUCUAGCCUGACUCUCUGUAAUAUGGGAUCAUCCAGGUUACAGAUAGAUAAUCUGAAGUUCAAAUCUAAAAGAGAUUAUUUCGUGGUUAAAGAAAAAAAAAGGCAUUGUGAUUUGGAGUACUCGGCUAAUACUAAACUAUUCGCAUGUUUCAAAAUGAGUCCCAAAAAUCACUAAAGAAUGCAUUCCUAAUACUUAGCAUAUUACAUAUCUCGCUUCUCAAAUUCUUCAGCAUUUAUCAUUUUUGUUAAUCUUAAAAAAGUCUAAAACUAUAGACUCCUCUCUGACACAUAUUUGCACAUUACAAGGAAGAUUCUCUAGCCAGUCAUCCAGGAUUACAUUUCCUACGCUCACCUCAAUUGUCGAAGUUGAGAAGGAAGUAUCCUGUUCCCCAAGUUCCCCCCACCCCCCCCCAUCUCAGUCAUUUUUCCUACUUCUGGCAUCUUUAAUUACUACAUUCAGGACGAUAUUAGAGCAAAGAUCAGUGAGUCUUUGGACAAGGUCUUCAAUUAUUAUCUCAAGUGGGGAAAAAGAAGGGCAGUAGAUUAGCUGUUAGCAAACUUAAGGUUAUAGAAAUUCUGGGCAAUAAGAAACUUAAUCUGUCAGAUAGGCCAGUGCCAUUUCUCUUUAUCUGUGUGAAAAUAAAUAGAAACUGUGUGCCAAGUGUGACUGUACUUAAUCCUGUGGAUAUGAGCAUGUGAAUAUAGUCGUCCUUAGAGUCAAGGUGUCCAGCCACAAGCCUCAACCUCAUCAAUCUCUUUCUUCCUUUCUUCCUAUCUUCCUAUCUCACAAACUGGCCUCCUUUAAUUCUUCCUUAUUGAGUUUCUUCCUUCCUCUUCAGGACCCUUGCAAAGACUGUCCCCUCUGUCUGGAGCAUACCCAUUUAUUUCCCCCAACCACCCACCUAAGCUGUUGCUUUUUCAUCUUUCAGCUCCACAGGAAGUCAUAAGCCAUGGAUGACAGACACUCCCUCGAUUGAUUCUGGACCUCCUUGAUUUGUUCUCAUGAGACCCCCCCCCUACUUUUUCAGCAGAGGACGCAGGACGGCUUGGCAUUUCAUACACCUGAGAUAUUUAAUGGACACAUUUUCGCAGGCUUUGCACUAUAAAUUCCACAAGAGGAAUUUAUCUUCAGCUCUUAGCACGGUGCUAGUCACAACCAAGUACAUACCUAUUAAAUGACUGCAUGAAAGAAAAAUAGAUACAAUUCAGGAAAGCCAUUGUCUGGGCCUUGGAGAGCUGUACAACCGGGACACGAUAGAAUAAAAAAAGAUAAAGGACUUAUUUUACCCUGUUUACAUCACUGUUAUGGAAAUCUCUGAUAUUUUUCAAAACUCCUACCAUGCCUUCAAGGAUAAAAUACAUCAUUCCAUAGAAACCAUAUUUUGAGGCAAGUACAUUUUUGAAAAUAAUUAACAAAAAUGAAAUAGAGAAUCAUAAAGAAAGGAGAUCAAAUUAUAGCAUUUUGACAUUCUAAAUGAAUCAAUCCUUCAUCUUGGUCAAUUCUGU
This 3921-nucleotide long non-coding RNA is filed under the name Lynx pardinus (Iberian lynx). Lineage: Eukaryota; Metazoa; Chordata; Mammalia; Carnivora; Felidae. The record is from RNAcentral.